RNAcentral lists this ribosomal RNA (399 nucleotides) under uncultured bacterium. RNAcentral describes it as "bacterial SSU rRNA". It matches the Rfam family "Bacterial small subunit ribosomal RNA", at positions 29 to 429 of the family's 1533-position model. The record is from RNAcentral.
AUUGAACGCUGGCGGCAUGCCUUACACAUGCAAGUCGAACGGCAGCACGGGGGCAACCCUGGUGGCGAGUGGCGGACGGGUGAGUAAUGCAUCGGAACGUGCCCUGAAGUGGGGGAUAACGCAGCGAAAGCUACGCUAAUACCGCAUAUUCUGUGAGCAGGAAAGCAGGGGAUCGCAAGACCUUGCGCUUUGGGAGCGGCCGAUGUCGGAUUAGCUAGUUGGUGGGGUAAAGGCCUACCAAGGCGACGAUCCGUAGCGGGUCUGAGAGGAUGAUCCGCCACACUGGGACUGAGACACGGCCCAGACUCCUACGGGAGGCAGCAGUGGGGAAUUUUUGGACAAUGGGCGAAAGCCUGAUCCAGCCAUGCCGCGUGAGUGAAGAAGGCCUCGGUUGGUAAA